RNAcentral lists this ribosomal RNA (520 nucleotides) under uncultured Glomus. Its description in RNAcentral is "SSU rRNA". It matches the Rfam family "Eukaryotic small subunit ribosomal RNA", at positions 569 to 1088 of the family's 1831-position model. The record is from RNAcentral. Lineage: Eukaryota; Fungi; Glomeromycota; Glomeromycetes; Glomerales; Glomeraceae.
AGCAGCCGCGGUAAUUCCAGCUCCAAUAGCGUAUAUUAAAGUUGUUGCAGUUAAAAAGCUCGUAGUUGAAUUUCGGGAUCAGAUUGUCGGUCGUGCCUCGGUACGCACUGGCAUUAUUGGUUCCUACCUUCUGAAGGACCGCGAUGUCAUUAAUUUGGUGUCGUGGGGAAUCAGGACUGUUACUUUGAAAAAAUUAGAGUGUUUAAAGCAGGCGCACGCUUGAAUACAUUAGCAUGGAAUAAUGAAAUAGGACUUUUGAUUCUAUUUUGUUGGUUUCUAGGAUCGACGUAAUGAUUAAUAGGGAUAGUUGGGGGCAUUAGUACUCAAUUGUCAGAGGUGAAAUUCUUGGAUUUAUUGAAGACUAACUACUGCGAAAGCAUUUGCCAAGGAUGUUUUCAUUAAUCAAGAACGAAAGUUAGGGGAUCGAAGACGAUCAGAUACCGUCGUAGUCUUAACCAUAAACUAUGCCGACUAGGGAUCGGAUGAUGUUAAUUUUUAAUGUACUCACUUCGGCGUACCG